GGAAGCUGAUGGGGUCUGGCGGCUCCCGCGGUCUUCAAAACCGUCGGCCGCGUUUCCGCGCGGCGGCAGGUUCGAUUCCUGCCUCUUCCG
RNAcentral lists this transfer RNA (90 nucleotides) under Treponema sp. RNAcentral's name for it is "tRNA-Sec". It matches the Rfam family "Selenocysteine transfer RNA". Lineage: Bacteria; Pseudomonadati; Spirochaetota; Spirochaetia; Treponematales; Treponemataceae. RNAcentral also lists the same sequence under 3 other names. The record is from RNAcentral.